RNAcentral lists this transfer RNA (73 nucleotides) under Paludisphaera borealis. It matches the Rfam family "tRNA". From Rfam's summary of the family: Transfer RNA (tRNA) molecules are approximately 80 nucleotides in length. Their secondary structure includes four short double-helical elements and three loops (D, anti-codon, and T loops). Lineage: Bacteria; Pseudomonadati; Planctomycetota; Planctomycetia; Isosphaerales; Isosphaeraceae. The record is from Rfam by way of RNAcentral.
GCCCCCAUCGUCUAGCGGCCUAGGAUUCUUGGUUCUCAGCCAAGCGACCGGGGUUCGAGUCCCCGUGGGGGUA